UAUAAUAUUAAUUAUUAUAUGUCCAUCUUUUUUCACUAAUUUUUUUGAGGAUAAGCUCAAAAAGAAGUUAAGAUAUUUUUUAAUUGAAGUUGCUGUGUGGGCUUAAAAUUGGCUAUCAUAAAAGUUUGUUAUAAAAUAGUAAUUUUUAGUUUAAAAAAUAAAUAUAUUUUAAUCUAACUUCUUACGGAGAUAAAAUCUUUAACUAAAAUAGGUUUUACACCUAUGCUAGGAUGAGUAUUAAAACUAAUAUUAAAUAUGAAAAAUUUUCUUCAAAAAAAAAUAUUUAAAGAAAUUAAUUAAUUAAAAGGAACUCGGCAAAUUUAGUUGCUUCGCCUGUUUAUCAAAAACAUGGCUCUCUGCCUAUGUAUAUAUAGAGAGUCGAGCCUGCCCAGUGAAAUUUUUCAACGGCCGCGGUACUCUGACCGUGCAAAGGUAGCAUAAUCAUUUGCCUUAUAAUUGAAGGCUAGUAUGAAUGGUUUGACGAGAGCAACGCUGUCUCUUUUUUAUUUUCAAAAACUUAACUUUUAGGUGAAGAGGCCUAAAUUUUAUUGAAGGACAAGAAGACCCUGUCGAGCUUAAAAGACAUUAUAGAAGUCUAUAUAUUUUUAAAUAAAUUUCCUAUUAAGCUUUUUAGUUGGGGCGACUAAGGAACAAAAAAAGCUUCUUGUUAGUAUUAAACGGUCACGUUUAGAUCCGAUAAUAAUCGAUCAAAGAAAUUAGUUACCGCAGGGAUAACAGCAUAAUCUCUCUUGAGAGACCUAAUCGAAAGAGGGGGUUGUGACCUCGAUGUUGGACUAGAAUAU
This 803-nucleotide ribosomal RNA is filed under the name Semisulcospira jacqueti. Its description in RNAcentral is "partial 16S ribosomal RNA". The stretch from base 285 to 542 matches the Rfam family "Archaeal large subunit ribosomal RNA", at positions 1784 to 2143 of the family's 2987-position model. The record is from RNAcentral. Lineage: Eukaryota; Metazoa; Mollusca; Gastropoda; Semisulcospiridae.